GACGAACGCUGGCGGCGUGCUUAACACAUGCAAGUCGAACGGAAAGGCCCUGCUUUUGUGGGGUGCUCGAGUGGCGAACGGGUGAGUAACACGUGAGUAACCUGCCCUUGACUUUGGGAUAACUUCAGGAAACUGGGGCUAAUACCCGAUAGGAGCUCCUGCUGCAUGGUGGGGGUUGGAAAGUUUCGGCGGUUGGGGAUGGACUCGCGGCUUAUCAGCCUGUUGGUGGGGUAGUGGCUUACCAAGGCUUUGACGGGUAGCCGGCCUGAGAGGGCGACCGGCCACAUGGUGACUGAGAUACGGCCCAGACUCCUACGGGAGGCAGCAGUGGGGAAUAUUGCACAGUGGGCGGGAGCCUGAUGCAGAAACGCCGCGUGCGGGAUGACGGCCUUCGGGUUGUAAACCGCUUUCGCCUGUGACGAAGCGUGAGUGACGGUAAUGGGUAAAGAAGCACCGGCUAACUACGUG
RNAcentral lists this ribosomal RNA (468 nucleotides) under uncultured bacterium. RNAcentral's name for it is "partial 16S ribosomal RNA". It matches the Rfam family "Bacterial small subunit ribosomal RNA", at positions 28 to 507 of the family's 1533-position model. The record is from RNAcentral.